This 405-nucleotide ribosomal RNA is filed under the name Triticum aestivum (bread wheat). RNAcentral describes it as "partial small subunit ribosomal RNA". The record is from RNAcentral. Lineage: Eukaryota; Viridiplantae; Streptophyta; Magnoliopsida; Poales; Poaceae.
AUGGAGGUCAUGGAGAUGCACAGAAGCAGCGCCAGAGCCGCUAGGGUCGCCAUUCCCACCGGCGCCGCCAAGUUGAGCGCUCCGUAUCGUUAUCUCCUGCGCGCAUCCGUCCACUUCUUCGUUUCCCAGCUUUUGGCCCAGCUGGGUCUGUACAAGAGCAAGGAGGAGGCCGCCAGGCAAGAAGAGGUGCUGGGGAAGCUUGACAAGAUUGUGAAAGAGUGGGUUAAGGAGUUGGCUAUUCAGAGAGGCCAAGUCAACGCAAAUGUCGUGCUUUUCACCUUCGGGUCAUACCAUCUAGGGGACAACAAGUUCAUCUGCGGCAGCUAUCACUGUGUGCAGUCCAUCUGCAACGCGCUCCGCAGCGUCUUCGCCGGUCACAACGAGAUCCUCAACGUCUGCAAGUAA